GUGCUGGAAGGUUAAGGGGACAUGUUAGCGCAAGCGAAGCUUUGAAUUGAAGCCCCAGUAAACGGCGGCCGUAACUAUAACGGUCCUAAGGUAGCGAAAUUCCUUGUCGGGUAAGUUCCGACCCGCACGAAUGGUGUAACGAUUUGGGCGCUGUCUCAACGAGGGACCCGGUGAAAUUGAAAUACCUGUGAAGAUGCAGGUUACCCGCGACUGGACAGAAAGACCCCAUGGAGCUUUACUG
This 241-nucleotide ribosomal RNA is filed under the name Acinetobacter baumannii. RNAcentral's name for it is "partial 23S ribosomal RNA". It matches the Rfam family "Bacterial large subunit ribosomal RNA", at positions 1866 to 2106 of the family's 2925-position model. The record is from RNAcentral. Lineage: Bacteria; Pseudomonadati; Pseudomonadota; Gammaproteobacteria; Moraxellales; Moraxellaceae.